This 658-nucleotide ribosomal RNA is filed under the name uncultured Methanosaeta sp. RNAcentral describes it as "bacterial SSU rRNA". It matches the Rfam family "Archaeal small subunit ribosomal RNA", at positions 221 to 879 of the family's 1478-position model. Lineage: Archaea; Methanobacteriati; Methanobacteriota; Methanomicrobia; Methanotrichales; Methanotrichaceae. The record is from RNAcentral.
CCUAUCAGGUAGUAGUGGGUGUAGCGUACCUACUAGCCUACGACGGGUACGGGUUGUGAGAGCAAGAGCCCGGAGAUGGAUUCUGAGACACGAAUCCAGGCCCUACGGGGUGCAGCAGGCGCGAAAACUUUACAAUGCUGGAAACAGCGAUAAGGGGACCUCGAGUGCCAGGUUACAAAUCUGGCUGUCGUGAUGCCUAAAAAGCAUUGCAUAGCAAGGGCCGGGCAAGACCGGUGCCAGCCGCCGCGGUAACACCGGCGGCUCGAGUGGUAACCGUUAUUAUUGGGUCUAAAGGGUCUGUAGCCGGCCGGAUAAGUCUCUUGGGAAAUCUGGCAGCUUAACUGUCAGGCUUUCAGGAGAUACUGUCUGGCUCGAGGCCGGGAGAGGUGAGAGGUACUUCAGGGGUAGGGGUGAAAUCUUGUAAUCCUUGAAGGACCACCAGUGGCGAAGGCGUCUCACCAGAACGGACCUGACGGCAAGGGACGAAAGCUAGGGGCACGAACCGGAUUAGAUACCCGGGUAGUCCUAGCCGUAAACGAUACUCGCUAGGUGUCGGCAACGGUGCGACCGUUGUCGGUGCCGUAGGGAAGCCGUGAAGCGAGCCACCUGGGAAGUACGGCCGCAAGGCUGAAACUUAAAGGAAUUGGCGGGGGAGCAC